GGCCUGAUGGUCUAGUAGUAUGAUUCCUUGUUAGGGCCCUUUGGGGAAUUUCGAGGAGGUCCCGGGUUCAAUUCCCGGUCAGGCCC
Molecule: transfer RNA, 86 nt
Rfam family: tRNA
About the family: Transfer RNA (tRNA) molecules are approximately 80 nucleotides in length. Their secondary structure includes four short double-helical elements and three loops (D, anti-codon, and T loops). Further hydrogen bonds mediate the characteristic L-shaped molecular structure. tRNAs have two regions of fundamental functional importance: the anti-codon, which is responsible for specific mRNA codon recognition, and the 3' end, to which the tRNAs corresponding amino acid is attached (by aminoacyl-tRNA synthetases). tRNAs cope with the degeneracy of the genetic code in two manners: having more than one tRNA (with a specific anti-codon) for a particular amino acid; and 'wobble' base-pairing, i.e. permitting non-standard base-pairing at the 3rd anti-codon position.